Molecule: long non-coding RNA, 950 nt
Organism: Micropterus dolomieu (smallmouth bass)
Lineage: Eukaryota; Metazoa; Chordata; Actinopteri; Centrarchiformes; Centrarchidae
Exons: 3
Source: RefSeq, a predicted model, not a curated record
AUGUUACCAAUUUUAAAAUACACAGGGUUACUCCCUACGACUGCAUUGAUAACUGGUCUGUGUGUUUAAGGUGGUGAAGAGUAGGUUCACCAGAAAAAAGGAGCGAGUCACAAGACCACCAGCAUCGGAGUCCACGAGCUCCUGUGGGAUCCAACAUGGACCAAUAACGUGAGAGGAGUUGGGACAAAUGAACAUGCGUUGUCAGAAAGCCAUCGGUUGGCGUGGCGAUGUGCUUACUGGGCCAAGAAGAAGGAGGAGUGGACAGGUGUGUGUCGUACAGGAGUCCUGAGUUUCCUCCGGGUGCUUCCUCCACUGCUACUUUCUGGGGCUGGAGAGGGUGCCACCUUUUCAGGAGCUGGUGGCGCUGAUGCUGACACAGAGUUAUGAGCCCUCAGUGAGCGAGUAGACUCUGUCGAUGGCAAAGAGAUAUGUAAUACAGGAAAGAAAUUAUGGAACAUGUUACAUGUGGUAAUUUUUGAUACUAGACUUUUGCUUGUCAAGAGUUAAAUGAGAAAAAUAUCGAUACCAUGUAUGUACGGUAAAUAUGAAGCCAGCAGCUGGUUAGCUUAGCAUAAAGACUGGAAACAGAGGGUAACGGCUAGCCUGGCUCAGUCUGAAGGUAACACAAUCUGUCUACCAGCACCUCUGAAGCUCACUAAUUAACACAUCUCAUUUAAUUCAUACAAAAACUGAAGUGUAAAUACACUUCUGGGUUUACAGGGGAUUAGGUGCAGGACAAUUUCUUGGCUGGGCACAAUAACUCCCUGGAGUCUUGUUGUUACCACGUUGUUGCCAGGCAACUCAACUAACCAGCUCCUGGCGGAAGUUUUAUAUUUGGCAUACAAACAUAAGAGUGCCAUCAAUCGACUAAUCCAGCUCCCAGCAAGAAAGGAAAUACGCACAUUUCCCAAAAUGUCCAACUUUUCCAUUAAAACUACAAACUGUUUUGU